AGAGUUUGAUCAUGGCUCAGAAUGAACGCUGGCGGCGUGCUUAACACAUGCAAGUCGGACGAGAAAGGCUGAUUUCGGUUGGCCGAGUAAAGUGGCGCACGGGUGAGUAACGCGUAGGCAACCUACCCUUGUAUUGGGGAUAACCCUGCGAAAGUGGGGCUAAUACCGGAUGAGACCCUAUUCUGGAGGGGAUAGGGUGAAAGUCGGCCGCUCGGAGAAGCUGACGUACGAGGAUGGGCCUGCGUCCUAUCAGCUGGUUGGUGGGGUAGCGGCCUACCAAGGCGACGACGGGUAGCUGGUCUGAGAGGAUGAUCAGCCACACUGGCACUGGAACACGGGCCAGACUCCUACGGGAGGCAGCAGUGAGGAAUUUUGCGCAAUGGCCGCAAGGCUGACGCAGCAACGCCGCGUGGGUGAUGAAGGCCUUCGGGUCGUAAAGCCCUGUCAGGUGGGAAGAAAGGCCUUAAGGAGAAAGACUUGAGGUUUGACGGUACCACCAGAGGAAGCACCGGCUAACUCCGUGCCAGCAGCCGCGGUAAUACGGAGGGUGCGAGCGUUAUUCGGAAUUACUGGGCGUAAAGCGCGUGUAGGCGGGGGACAAGUCUGAUGUGAAAGCCCUGGGCUUAACCUGGGAAGCGCAUUGGAAACUGUUUUUCUUGAGUACUGGAGAGGAAGGGGGAAUUCCCGGUGUAGAGGUGAAAUUCGUAGAGAUCGGGAGGAAUACCAGUGGCGCAUGCGCCCUUCUGGACGGUAACUGACGCUGAGACGCGAAAGCGUGGGGGAGCAAACAGGAUUAGAUACCCUGUAGUCCACGCUGUAACGAUGGUCACUAGGUGUAGCGGGUACUCAUUCCUGCUGUGCCGCAGCUAACGCGUUAAGUGAUCCGCCUGGGGAUUACGGUCGCAAGACUAAACUCAAAGGAAUUGACGG
RNAcentral lists this ribosomal RNA (930 nucleotides) under uncultured bacterium. RNAcentral's name for it is "bacterial SSU rRNA". It matches the Rfam family "Bacterial small subunit ribosomal RNA", at positions 8 to 916 of the family's 1533-position model. The record is from RNAcentral.